UGAGGAACAUGACCUUCGGCGGGGGAUAGCCGGCCCAACGGCCGGGUAAUACCGCGUAUGACACAUGGGGACAUCCCUGAGUGGUGAAAGCAGCAAUGCGCCGAUGGAGUGCCUCGCGGCCUAUCAGCUAGUUGGUGAGGUAACGGCUCACCAAGGCGAUGACGGGUAGCUGGUCUGAGAGGAUGGCCAGCCACAGUUGGGACUGAGACACGGCCCAGACCUACCGG
Molecule: ribosomal RNA, 227 nt
Filed under: uncultured bacterium
Lineage: Bacteria
Description: partial 16S ribosomal RNA
Rfam family: Bacterial small subunit ribosomal RNA
Source: RNAcentral